Molecule: long non-coding RNA, 85 nt
Organism: Etheostoma spectabile (orangethroat darter)
Lineage: Eukaryota; Metazoa; Chordata; Actinopteri; Perciformes; Percidae
Exons: 3
Source: RefSeq, a predicted model, not a curated record
GCUAGCUGACGGACUAGUGUUAGAAAAGGCUACAUGAUGUUCCUGUGAUUAAAUUUGAAGUUCAAAUGGAAUCAUGACUCAGAGC